GUCCACGCCGUAAACGAUGGAAGCUAGCCGUUGGUGGGUUUACUCAUCAGUGGCGCAGCUAACGCAUUAAGCUUCCCGCCUGGGGAGUACGGUCGCAAGAUUAAAACUCAAAGGAAUUGACGGGGCCCGCACAAGCGGUGGAGCAUGUGGUUCAAUUCGAAGCAACGCGAAGAACCUUACCAGCCUUUGACAUGCCUCGUAUGGUCGCUAGAGAUAGCUUCCUUCCCGCAAGGGGCGAGAGCACAGGUGCUGCAUGGCUGUCGU
Molecule: ribosomal RNA, 264 nt
Filed under: uncultured bacterium
Lineage: Bacteria
Description: partial 16S ribosomal RNA
Rfam family: Bacterial small subunit ribosomal RNA
Source: RNAcentral